RNAcentral lists this ribosomal RNA (525 nucleotides) under uncultured Bacteroidales bacterium. Its description in RNAcentral is "bacterial SSU rRNA". It matches the Rfam family "Bacterial small subunit ribosomal RNA", at positions 90 to 613 of the family's 1533-position model. The record is from RNAcentral. Lineage: Bacteria; Pseudomonadati; Bacteroidota; Bacteroidia; Bacteroidales.
GGCGACCGGCGCACGGGUGAGUAACGCGUAUCCAACCUGCCUUACACUCUUGGACAGCCUUCUGAAAGGGAGAUUAAUACAAGAUGUUAUCAUGAGUAAGCAUUUUCGCAUGAUUAAAGGUUUACCGGUGUAAGAUGGGGAUGCGUUCCAUUAGAUAGUAGGCGGGGUAACGGCCCACCUAGUCUUCGAUGGAUAGGGGUUCUGAGAGGAAGGUCCCCCACAUUGGAACUGAGACACGGUCCAAACUCCUACGGGAGGCAGCAGUGAGGAAUAUUGGUCAAUGGACGAGAGUCUGAACCAGCCAAGCAGCGUGAAGGAUGAAGGUUCUAUGGAUUGUAAACUUCUUUUAUACGGGAAUAAACGGAUCCACGUGUGGAUUUUUGCAUGUACCGUAUGAAUAAGGAUCGGCUAACUCCGUGCCAGCAGCCGCGGUAAUACGGAGGAUCCGAGCGUUAUCCGGAUUUAUUGGGUUUAAAGGGAGCGUAGAUGGGUUGUUAAGUCAGUUGUGAAAGUUUGCGGCUCAAC